This 1317-nucleotide ribosomal RNA is filed under the name Campylobacter coli. Its description in RNAcentral is "partial 23S ribosomal RNA". It matches the Rfam family "Bacterial large subunit ribosomal RNA", at positions 1244 to 2539 of the family's 2925-position model. Lineage: Bacteria; Pseudomonadati; Campylobacterota; Epsilonproteobacteria; Campylobacterales; Campylobacteraceae. The record is from RNAcentral.
UUUGCGUCGAAGGUAUACCGGUAAGGAGUGCUGGAGCGAAUAGAAGUGAGCAUGCAGGCAUGAGUAGCGAUAAUUAAUGUGAGAAUCAUUAACGCCGUAAACCCAAGGUUUCCUACGCGAUGCUCGUCAUCGUAGGGUUAGUCGGGUCCUAAGUCGAGUCCGAAAGGGGUAGACGAUGGCAAAUUGGUUAAUAUUCCAAUACCAACAUUAGUGUGCGAUGGAAGGACGCUUAGGGCUAAGGGGGCUAGCGGAUGGAAGUGCUAGUCUAAGGUCGUAGGAGGUUAUACAGGCAAAUCCGUAUAACAAUACUCCGAGAACUGAAAGGCUUUUUGAAGUCUUCGGAUGGAUAGAAGAACCCCUGAUGCCGUCGAGCCAAGAAAAGUUUCUAAGUUUAGCUAAUGUUGCCCGUACCGUAAACCGACACAGGUGGGUGGGAUGAGUAUUCUAAGGCGCGUGGAAGAACUCUCUUUAAGGAACUCUGCAAAAUAGCACCGUAUCUUCGGUAUAAGGUGUGGUUCGCUUCGUAUUAGGAUUUACUCCGAAAGCGAAGAAACUUACAACAAAGAGUCCCUCCCGACUGUUUACCAAAAACACAGCACUCUGCUAACUCGUAAGAGGAUGUAUAGGGUGUGACGCCUGCCCGGUGCUCGAAGGUUAAUUGAUGGGGUUAGCAUUAGCGAAGCUCUUGAUCGAAGCCCGAGUAAACGGCGGCCGUAACUAUAACGGUCCUAAGGUAGCGAAAUUCCUUGUCGGUUAAAUACCGACCUGCAUGAAUGGCGUAACGAGAUGGGAGCUGUCUCAAAGAGGGAUCCAGUGAAAUUGUAGUGGAGGUGAAAAUUCCUCCUACCCGCGGCAAGACGGAGAGACCCCGUGGACCUUUACUACAGCUUGACACUGCUAUUUGGAUAAGAAUGUGCAGGAUAGGUGGGAGGCUUUGAGUAUAUGACGCCAGUUGUAUAUGAGCCAUUGUUGAGAUACCACUCUUUCUUAUUUGGGUAGCUAACCAGCUUGAGUUAUCCUCAAGUGGGACAAUGUCUGGUGGGUAGUUUGACUGGGGCGGUCGCCUCCCAAAUAAUAACGGAGGCUUACAAAGGUUGGCUCAGAACGGUUGGAAAUCGUUCGUAGAGUAUAAAGGUAUAAGCCAGCUUAACUGCAAGACAUACAAGUCAAGCAGAGACGAAAGUCGGUCUUAGUGAUCCGGUGGUUCUGUGUGGAAGGGCCAUCGCUCAAAGGAUAAAAGGUACCCCGGGGAUAACAGGCUGAUCUCCCCCAAGAGCUCACAUCGACGGGGAGGUUUGGCACCUCGAUGUCGGCUCA